RNAcentral lists this ribosomal RNA (406 nucleotides) under uncultured prokaryote. RNAcentral describes it as "bacterial SSU rRNA". It matches the Rfam family "Bacterial small subunit ribosomal RNA", at positions 355 to 776 of the family's 1533-position model. The record is from RNAcentral.
UGGGGAAUAUUGGGCAAUGGGGGAAACCCUGACCCAGCAACGCCGCGUGAGGGAAGAAGGUUCUCGGAUUGUAAACCUCUGUCCUUGGUGACGAAACAAAUGACGGUAGCCAAGGAGGAAGCCCCGGCUAACUACGUGCCAGCAGCCGCGGUAAUACGUAGGGGGCAAGCGUUGUCCGGAAUUAUUGGGCGUAAAGGGCGCGUAGGCGGCUGUACAAGUCUGAUGUGAAAGUGCGGGGCUUAACCCCGUAAAGCAUUGGAAACUGUACGGCUUGAGGACAGGAGAGGAAAGUGGAAUUCCUAGUGUAGCGGUGAAAUGCGUAGAUAUUAGGAGGAACACCAGUGGCGAAGGCGACUUUCUGGACUGUAACUGACGCUGAGGCGCGAAAGCGUGGGGAGCAAACAGG